AAUACGUUCCCGGGCCUUGUACACACCGCCCGUCACACCACGAAAGUCGGCAACACCCGAAGCCGGUGGCCCAACCCUUUUGGGAGGGAGCCGUCGAAGGUGGGGUCGGUGAUUGGGGUG
This 120-nucleotide ribosomal RNA is filed under the name uncultured bacterium. Its description in RNAcentral is "partial 16S ribosomal RNA". It matches the Rfam family "Bacterial small subunit ribosomal RNA", at positions 1365 to 1482 of the family's 1533-position model. The record is from RNAcentral.